RNAcentral lists this non-coding RNA (51 nucleotides) under unclassified sequences. The record is from RNAcentral.
CCUUGACGAAGAAUUAACUUCGACAUUUGCCAAGACAAGGAGAUUGACAUG